Molecule: unclassified non-coding RNA, 965 nt
Filed under: Hevea brasiliensis (rubber tree)
Lineage: Eukaryota; Viridiplantae; Streptophyta; Magnoliopsida; Malpighiales; Euphorbiaceae
Source: RNAcentral
GUAUAAUCAGUAGGAUAUGCAUAGUAUAGAUGCCUCUGUAGUGUAAAUCUUUCCCCAGCUUGAUCUUACUUCUUGUGCAGUAAUGGGUUCUUGCAAAUUUCCUCUCUUUUCACAGACGUUCGUCUCUUUGGCCUCGCAUGUUAUCCAGCUUAGAUGACAAUUAAACAAGAAAGUAGUUGACGCUAUAAAGUCAAAACUGCAGGCUUCCCAGCCUAGUUUUAUGGAAUUUUAGUUAGUUUUCAUUUUAUCAAAUUAAAUUAUGUAAUUUUUGAAUAAUUUUUCCCUUGCAUAGGAAGAUCAGGUAUGCGACCUGAAGCUAGGCUUGACGGUCGUUACAUGGUCGCUGAAAUUGAAAAACCCAUUCUCAGCUCUUUAUUGAUGUAUUUGCAUAUCGCUAUAGAUGCAAAUAAAUACUAGUUUAGAUCCAUCCAGAUGCAAAUUUUAGACAGCAUAUGAAAUAGCAUGAAAAAUGGGACGAGGUUUGGGAAAUACUUAACACUUCAGUUCUAUAAUAUUUUUAUGCUUGUCUUAUUAAAUAACCAGAGGAAGUCUCAAAGCAGUUCAGGAAUACUAUCAACAUCUAAUCUGGAUUAACCUUCUACAGUCCAGCCAAGAAUGGAUUUUGUUAUGUAAAACAGUGCGUAUAUGUAUUUACGCAUCAUCCUUUCAAUAUGGAUCACUAGCCUAGAGCAAAGAUGGCUGUGAUGCCUUUAUAAAUGACAUAGGAGAAAACUUUUCUUUUCUUCUAUAUUUUUCCCAUGAAGAAAUGCACACAAAGCAACUUUCGAUUACCGAAAUUGAGGAUUACGUAAAUUAACCUAGUAACCAACAUUUAGAUCAAUUAUGCAUUCUAGUAAUGAUAAGGGAUAAGCUAGCUGGUCAGGAUAGGAGUUAGGACUGAAGAGUUUAAGCGUUGUUCUCAUCCCAGCAUAUAUAGUCAUUGCACCGGUCCAAAUCAAACUGCU